This 468-nucleotide ribosomal RNA is filed under the name uncultured bacterium. Its description in RNAcentral is "partial 16S ribosomal RNA". It matches the Rfam family "Bacterial small subunit ribosomal RNA", at positions 28 to 507 of the family's 1533-position model. The record is from RNAcentral.
GACGAACGCUGGCGGCGUGCUUAACACAUGCAAGUCGAACGGAAAGGCCCUGCGUUUGUGGGGUGCUCGAGUGGCGAACGGGUGAGUAAAACGUGAGUAACCUGCACUUGACUUUGGGGUAACUUCAGGGGACUGGGGCUAAUACCGGAUAGGAGCUCCUGCUGCAUGGUGGGGGUUGGAAAGUUUCGGCGGUUUGGGAUGGACUAGCGGCUUAUCAGCUUGAUGGUGGGGUAGUGGCUGACCAAGGCUAUGACGGGUAGCCGGCCUGAGAGGGUUGCCGGCCACAUUGCGACUGAGAGACGGCCCAGACGCCUACGGUACGCAGCAGGCGGGAACAUGGCACAAUGGGGGGAAGCCUGAGGCAGCAACGCCGCGUGCGGGAUGACCGCUUUCGGGUGGUAAACAGAUUUCGCCUGUGACGAAGCGUGAGUGACGGUAAUGGGUAAAGAAGCACCGGCUAACUACGUG